RNAcentral lists this ribosomal RNA (248 nucleotides) under uncultured Gardnerella sp. RNAcentral's name for it is "partial 16S ribosomal RNA". It matches the Rfam family "Bacterial small subunit ribosomal RNA", at positions 107 to 354 of the family's 1533-position model. The record is from RNAcentral. Lineage: Bacteria; Bacillati; Actinomycetota; Actinomycetes; Bifidobacteriales; Bifidobacteriaceae.
UAGAGUAAUGCGUGACCAACCUGCCCCAUGCUCCAGAAUAGCUCUUGGAAACGGGUGGUAAUGCUGGAUGCUCCAACUUGACGCAUGUCUUGUUGGGAAAGUGUUUAGUGGCAUGGGAUGGGGUCGCGUCCUAUCAGCUUGUAGGCGGGGUAAUGGCCCACCUAGGCUUCGACGGGUAGCCGGCCUGAGAGGGCGGACGGCCACAUUGGGACUGAGAUACGGCCCAGACUCCUACGGGAGCAGCAGAU